RNAcentral lists this transfer RNA (79 nucleotides) under Brevundimonas sp. Its description in RNAcentral is "tRNA-Val". The stretch from base 8 to 70 matches the Rfam family "tRNA", at positions 5 to 66 of the family's 71-position model. From Rfam's summary of the family: Transfer RNA (tRNA) molecules are approximately 80 nucleotides in length. Their secondary structure includes four short double-helical elements and three loops (D, anti-codon, and T loops). The record is from RNAcentral. Lineage: Bacteria; Pseudomonadati; Pseudomonadota; Alphaproteobacteria; Caulobacterales; Caulobacteraceae.
GGCGGAUGCGUAGCUCAGCGGGAGAGCACCUCGUUGACAUCGAGGGGGUCACAGGUUCAAUCCCUGUCGCGCGACGCCA